Pelobates cultripes (western spadefoot toad) is the source of this 329-nucleotide non-coding RNA. Lineage: Eukaryota; Metazoa; Chordata; Amphibia; Anura; Pelobatidae. The record is from the annotation of a GenBank genome assembly.
AUGUAGAAGGAGUAACUAUCAGGGGCGAACAAUAUACGGUGUCUGCUUAUGCAGACAACAUUCUCCUAACACUAACCAACCCGGACCACUCCAUAGAUGCCCUAUUAAAAACCAUACACGAAUACGCAUUGGUCGCAGGAUACAAGUUGAACCUGGGAAAAUCAGAAAUUCUACCCAUCCAGCUCUCCGAGUCACAACUAAACGCCCUAAAAAGCAAAUACCCAUUCCGAAUAUGCCCCACAGCCAUAACCUAUUUGGGAAUCCAGUUACCAGCCGACUUAACCACCUUAUAUGCGAAAAACUAUACACCGUUACUUCGCAUCGCACAC